This 288-nucleotide unclassified non-coding RNA is filed under the name Tomentella sp. Its description in RNAcentral is "partial contains 5.8S ribosomal RNA, internal transcribed spacer 2, and large subunit ribosomal RNA". Lineage: Eukaryota; Fungi; Basidiomycota; Agaricomycetes; Thelephorales; Thelephoraceae. The record is from RNAcentral.
AACGCACAUUGCGCCCUAUAGAAUUCUGUAGGGCAUGCCUGUCUGAGCAUCAUAAUAUCUACUCAGAUCUUUGAUUAUUUUAUAUAGUCUUGGAUAUGGAUUUAAUCAGAGAAGUAACCUAUAUGAGUAGAUUACUCUUUGGAAAAAUAAAGGCAGUUAUAGUGAAACCUGUAUUAAACGUGAUAUUAAAAAGUUUCGUUUUUAAGGACUACAUCUUUGACUUGCCUUUAACCCACUUAAUUCUUUUUGAUUGACCUCAGAUCAGGUAGGGAUACCCGCUGAACUUAA